GGGUGAGUAAUGUCUGGGAAACUGCCUGAUGGAGGGGGAUAACUACUGGAAACGGUAGCUAAUACCGCAUAACGUCGCAAGACCAAAGAGGGGGACCUUCGGGCCUCUUGCCAUCGGAUGUGCCCAGAUGGGAUUAGCUAGUAGGUGGGGUAACGGCUCACCUAGGCGACGAUCCCUAGCUGGUCUGAGAGGAUGACCAGCCACACUGGAACUGAGACACGGUCCAGACUCCUAC
RNAcentral lists this ribosomal RNA (235 nucleotides) under Escherichia coli O6:H16:CFA/II str. B2C. Its description in RNAcentral is "partial 16S ribosomal RNA". It matches the Rfam family "Bacterial small subunit ribosomal RNA", at positions 104 to 342 of the family's 1533-position model. The record is from RNAcentral. Lineage: Bacteria; Pseudomonadati; Pseudomonadota; Gammaproteobacteria; Enterobacterales; Enterobacteriaceae.